UACGUAGGGGGCGAGCGUUGUCCGGAUUUAUUGGGCGUAAAGAGCGUGUAGGCGGCCCGGUAAGCCCGCUGUGAAAGUCGGGGGCUCAACCCUCGAAUGCCGGUGGAUACUGUCGGGCUAGAGUGCGGAAGAGGCGACUGGAAUUCCUGGUGUAGCGGUGGAAUGCGCAGAUAUCAGGAGGAACACCGGUGGCGAAGGCGGGUCUCUGGGCAGUAACUGACGCUGGAGGAGCGAA
RNAcentral lists this ribosomal RNA (235 nucleotides) under uncultured bacterium. RNAcentral's name for it is "partial 16S ribosomal RNA". It matches the Rfam family "Bacterial small subunit ribosomal RNA", at positions 524 to 757 of the family's 1533-position model. The record is from RNAcentral.